This 226-nucleotide ribosomal RNA is filed under the name uncultured bacterium. RNAcentral's name for it is "partial 16S ribosomal RNA". It matches the Rfam family "Bacterial small subunit ribosomal RNA", at positions 538 to 763 of the family's 1533-position model. The record is from RNAcentral.
ACGUUGUUCGGAAUUACUGGGCGUAAAGCGCGUGUAGGCGGCAAGGCAAGUCGGGUGUGAAAGCCCUGGGCUCAACCCAGGAAGUGCAUUCGAUACUGCCAAGCUAGAGUCCCGGAGAGGAUGGUGGAACUCUCGGUGUAGAGGUGAAAUUCGUAGAUAUCGAGAAGAACAUCGGUGGCGAAGGCGGCCAUCUGGACGGUGACUGACGCUGAGACGCGAAAGCGUG